GUACUCAUUUCAGUAGUGCACAUACUAAAAUCAGAAAGAUAUAGAGAACAUUAGCAUAAUCCCUGCACAAGGGUGACAGGUAAAUCAUGAAGUGUUCCAUAUUUUU
Phascolarctos cinereus (koala) is the source of this 106-nucleotide small nuclear RNA. Lineage: Eukaryota; Metazoa; Chordata; Mammalia; Diprotodontia; Phascolarctidae. The record is from Ensembl.